RNAcentral lists this ribosomal RNA (256 nucleotides) under Bacillus sp. (in: firmicutes). Its description in RNAcentral is "Bacillus sp. (in: Bacteria) partial 16S ribosomal RNA". It matches the Rfam family "Bacterial small subunit ribosomal RNA", at positions 95 to 342 of the family's 1533-position model. The record is from RNAcentral. Lineage: Bacteria; Bacillati; Bacillota; Bacilli; Caryophanales; Bacillaceae.
GCGGCGGACGGGUGAGUUAACACGUGGGUAACCUGCCUGUAAGAUCGGGAUAACUCCGGGAAACCGGGGCUAAUACCGGAUAAUUCAUUUCCUCGCAUGAGGAAAUGUUGAAAGGUGGCUUUUAGCUACCACUUACAGAUGGACCCGCGGCGCAUUAGCUAGUUGGUGAGGUAACGGCUCACCAAGGCCACGAUGCGUAGCCGACCUGAGAGGGUGAUCGGCCACACUGGGACUGAGACACGGCCCAGACUCCUAC